UGGUGUAGGGGUUUCCGGCCGUCCAUCAACAUCGCCGACUUUGGAGUCAAGCAAAAGCGACUGAACGGAGGAGGCAAUGGAGUCAGGGGAAAGAACAGUUAGUACAACCUACAAACCUCACCCCUGGGUGCCAGAGUGUUCCUGUGCUGUGGUGGAGAAGAGGUCCUUGGGGCCCAGCUAAAUUGCGCUCACGACCAUCAGUACAACCGAGUCCUGCCCCUAAAUGCCACAGAUGGAGCUGACGGAGAGUGAGAUCAGUGAAAACCAUAACUCUGUAUGGACCAGAGAGCUCAGGAUCACAGUGCGAGCCGAGAUAUACUAUCGAUCACUUUGGGGGAAGCUGGUGUUCCGAAAAUGAAGAAGGAGCAGGCCAUUCAACAGCGAAUUCAAAGAUACACCCAUCCAUAAAGGGAAUCGGAGUGGAAUUGUUUUUCCACAGAUUUUUAAUAAAAUAAAAUAAAAACAA
Long non-coding RNA from Oncorhynchus nerka (sockeye salmon), 466 nucleotides. RefSeq lists it as uncharacterized. The transcript has 2 exons. The record is from RefSeq and is a predicted model, not a curated record. NCBI's taxonomy places the organism in Eukaryota, Metazoa, Chordata, Actinopteri, Salmoniformes, Salmonidae.